Molecule: long non-coding RNA, 574 nt
Filed under: Lathyrus oleraceus (garden pea)
Lineage: Eukaryota; Viridiplantae; Streptophyta; Magnoliopsida; Fabales; Fabaceae
Description: Pisum sativum (pea) long non-coding RNA (PSAT_LNC023987)
Source: RNAcentral
GGGGUCUUAGUAUACGGCGCACGCCUAUGAUUCUGACCCGGAUUCUGACCCGAAUUAUGACGAUUUUGAUUUUGAUUUCUAUUGAUCUGAUAUUGUCUCUAUGGAGCAUGUCCCUAAGGAGUUUGUUGUUGUUGUAGAGCUUGGGAAAGCUGCUUAGAUUGCAAUUGAUACUGAAAGGUUAUUGUUGGCACUGAGCAGCGGCUACAUACGGAUAAGGGAAAUAUGGUGAAGGGUCAUAGGAACUUGGUACUGGGGAACACUUGUUGUUGCAUCAUUUUUUUUCUCUUUCCUUCUUUUUUGCAUACCCAAUAUGAGGCUUCCUGGUUGCAGGCUGUUUGUUACUUUUACCACUGGCGAUCUUUUCUGACUUGAGACCAUUUUCUAUCCUCUCUCCAAUAACCACUAUAUCAGCAAAGUUGGAAGACGAGCUACCAACCAUCUUUUAAUAGUACAAACCUUGGAGAGUUCCCAUAAAAAUAUCCACCAACUUAGUAUCAGACAAAGAAGGUUUGACUCUUGAAGCCAUCUCGCACCACCUUUGCGCGUACUCUUUGAACGUCUCAUUAGAUAUCUG